CCCAGACUCCUACGGGAGGCAGCAGUGGGGGAUAUUGCACAAUGGGGGGAACCCUGAUGCAGCGACGCCGCGUGGGUGAAGAAGUAUUUCGGUAUGUAAAGCCCUAUCGGCAGGGAAGAAAUUGGACGGUACCUGACUAAGAAGCCCCGGCUAACUACGUGCCAGCAGCCGCGGUAAUACGUAGGGGGCAAGCGUUAUCCGGAUUCACUGGGUGUAAAGGGAGCGUAGACGGCCAUGCAAGCCUGGAGUGAAAGCCCGGGGCCCAACCCCGGGACUGCUCUGGGAACUGUGCGGCUGGAGUGCGGGAGGGGCAGGCGGAAUUCCUGGUGUAGCGGUGAAAUGCGUAGAUAUCAGGAGGAACACCGGCGGCGAAGGCGGCCUGCUGGACCGCGACUGACGUUGAGGCUCGAAAGCGUGGGGAGCAAACAGGAUUAGAUACCCUAGUAAU
Molecule: ribosomal RNA, 448 nt
Filed under: uncultured bacterium
Lineage: Bacteria
Description: bacterial SSU rRNA
Rfam family: Bacterial small subunit ribosomal RNA
Source: RNAcentral